GAGGAUCCGGGCGGUUCCCCCUUCGGGGGACAGGGUGACAGGUGGUGCAUGGUUGUCGUCAGCUCGUGUCGUGAGAUGUUGGGUUAAGUCCCGCAACGAGCGCAACCCUCGACCUUAGUUGCCAGCAUUCAGUUGGGCACUCUAAGGUGACUGCCGGCUAAAAGUCGGAGGAAGGUGGGGAUGACGUCAAAUCAUCAUGCCCCUUAUGACCUGGGCUACACACGUGCUACAAUGGGCGGUACAAAGGGUCGCGAACCCGCGAGGGGGAGCCAAUCCCAAAAAGCCGCUCUCAGUUCGGAUUGCAGGCUGCAACUCGCCUGCAUGAAGCCGGAAUCGCUAGUAAUCGCGGAUCAGCAUGCCGCGGUGAAUACGUUCCCGGGCCUU
RNAcentral lists this ribosomal RNA (384 nucleotides) under uncultured Anoxybacillus sp. RNAcentral's name for it is "bacterial SSU rRNA". It matches the Rfam family "Bacterial small subunit ribosomal RNA", at positions 1001 to 1382 of the family's 1533-position model. Lineage: Bacteria; Bacillati; Bacillota; Bacilli; Caryophanales; Anoxybacillaceae. The record is from RNAcentral.